CUUCAGCUCUGAGGUCAAACCCCUCUCAUCUGAGAGAACUGGAUCUGAGCUUCAACAACCUGCAGGACUCAGGAGUGAAGGAGCUGCUUGAUCUACAGCAGAGUCCAACCUGUCGACUGGAGACUCUGAGGUGGGAGGGGAGACCUUUGUGGAUGGAGGAGGCAUCUUUGUGGAGCUGAGAGUGAAGAGGACAGUGUGUGUGGACGGAGGCUGAGCUGUGUCCUGAGAAUCCAGAGGCUGAAGCAGCUGCAGCUUGUGUGUAGUCUCCAAUCUACACAACCCCUAAUCUGCAUGUGUUUGUGAGAUGAAGCCGGAGCACCUGGAGAAAACACGUGGAGAACAUGCAGACUCCACACAGGAAGACCCAUCUGAACCGGAUUCAAACCAGCAACCUUCUUGCACCGAUUGUGUUCAUUCACAUGAAGAAUGUGUUUAUUAAAAUGACACAACAACAGCAGAAUAUAUAAACACUCUAUAAAGAGUCACAUAUAGUGUAUUUUAGUUUGCCUUUAUUAUUUUCCACCUUUGUCCCUCAGUUUGUCUCCAUGUGUGUAGAACCACAUUCUGUGUAUAUUUUUGUUUAUGAUCUUGAAGUUCCUGGAUUCACGUCACAAAUUGAUUUAGUUCGACACAAAGUUAAACACAUUUAAAUCAAUUUGAGUUAAAAAUUCGAGUUUUGUCUUUGACACAAAAGAUCAAAACUCUGUAAAUAAAAAUGGGAAGUUUUCAUUUCUGCAUCAGGUGCAGAGCAGUGGUUGCUUUUCCACUUUUGACCCACAGGUGGCGCUGUAGUAUAACAGCAGCACAUCCCAGUCAAAGCCUUUAUAUUCAGUCUAUGAGUCAAACACAUGGAUCAUUUCCUCUGUGACAAACCAGAUGUAACGAGAAGAAAAACAUCUCGGAGAGAAAAGUUCUGUUUCUACUUGUCUCUGCUUUAAUGCUCAAUAAACAUCCUUCCACCGAC
Molecule: long non-coding RNA, 964 nt
Organism: Limanda limanda (common dab)
Lineage: Eukaryota; Metazoa; Chordata; Actinopteri; Pleuronectiformes; Pleuronectidae
Exons: 2
Source: RefSeq, a predicted model, not a curated record